Molecule: ribosomal RNA, 484 nt
Filed under: uncultured bacterium
Lineage: Bacteria
Description: partial 16S ribosomal RNA
Rfam family: Bacterial small subunit ribosomal RNA
Source: RNAcentral
AUUGAACGCUGGCGGCAGGCCUAACACAUGCAAGUCGAGCGGAUGAAGGGAGCUUGCUCCUGGAUUCAGCGGCGGACGGGUGAGUAAUGCCUAGGAAUCUGCCUGGUAGUGGGGGAUAACGUCCGGAAACGGGCGCUAAUACCGCAUACGUCCUGAGGUAGAAAGUGGGGGAUCUUCGGACCUCACGCUAUCAGAUGAGCCUAGGUCGGAUUAGCUAGUUGGUGGGGUAAAGGCCUACCAAGGCGACGAUCCGUAACUGGUCUGAGAGGAUGAUCAGUCACACUGGAACUGAGACACGGUCCAGACUCCUACGGGAGGCAGCAGUGGGGAAUAUUGGACAAUGGGCGAAAGCCUGAUCCAGCCAUGCCGCGUGGGUGAAGAAGGUCUUCGGAUUGUAAAACACUUUAAGUUGGGAAGAAGGACAGUAAGUUAAAACCUGGCUGUUUUGACGUUACCAACAGAAUAAGCACCGGCUAACUUCGUG